Molecule: ribosomal RNA, 292 nt
Filed under: uncultured bacterium
Lineage: Bacteria
Description: partial 16S ribosomal RNA
Rfam family: Bacterial small subunit ribosomal RNA
Source: RNAcentral
GUGUCAGCAGCCGCGGUAAGACGAACCUCCCAAACGUUAUUCGGAAUCACUGGGCUUAAAGGGUGCGUAGGCUGCGUAGUUAGUCGGGUGUGAAAUCCCCCAGCUUAACUGAGGAAUUGCGCCCGAUACUGCUGCGCUGGAGGGAGACAGAGGUAAGCGGAACUGAUGGUGGAGCGGUGAAAUGCGUUGAUAUCAUCAGGAACACCAGUGGCGAAAGCGGCUUACUGGGUCUCUUCUGACGCUGAGGCACGAAAGCUAGGGGAGCAAACGGGAUUAGAUACCCUCGUAGUCC